GUAGGUGAACCUGCUGCAGGAUCAUUA
Molecule: ribosomal RNA, 27 nt
Filed under: Radopholus similis
Lineage: Eukaryota; Metazoa; Nematoda; Chromadorea; Rhabditida; Pratylenchidae
Description: partial 18S ribosomal RNA
Source: RNAcentral